UUUUAUUUAAAAAGUGAAAUAAAAAGCACUUCGCAAAAAAGAAUUUCGUGCUGAACAAUGGAAAUUCUGUCACUGAAAUGUUGUGAAAAAAAAAAACACUUCACACUAUUCAAUGAAUAUAUAUAUAUGCUCUUUGCACUAUUCUAUUGCAGUAAAAUUGCACACACUUUACCAAUUCGCUACAGCCAUUUUUUGUCGUCAUGGCGUGAACCUGCUUGUCAACAACUCGGUUGUGCUUUCAGUUUUGUUUUGAUUCUCAGAUUGGUUUUGACAAGUCAUUUUCUUCAAGCUCUGUUAUAGUUUUGAAUGAUACAAAUUUAUAUCCCACAUAUUCAUGUUGCCAGGAUUCUUCGAAUACUUUUGCUGAGAUUUGAUUGAACGCUACGUUCCAAAAAUUCAAUAUUUCUCCCUGUUUUGUAUAUCCCAAAAUCAUCAGCAAACUGUCCACAAUCUGUAUCUCGUAAAGUUGAUGGAAGAUCAUCUACAAAAAUGAGAUAGAAAUAUGGAGACAGAAUUGAACCUUGACUAAGUCCUCGAAUGGGAUGCCUUGCUGCAAAUUUUAUUCCACCAUGGUAUUGCAUUUUUCGAUAAAGCAAUCACAUUUUGUGGAGUACAUGAUGUGACGCUGAGAAUUAUGCCCUGACACAGGUUUGUAUUAAAAAGUUCAACGUCAUCGUUUAUUGUUGAACCAUUUAUGUGAUUAAAGCUUUCAACUUUAUAUUUUUCCCAGUCUGUUCUUUUAGUCGAGAUGUAUGGUUGCCUUGUUGCCUUUGAAGUGUUUUUAUAUGAGUUCAAUGACAACCAGAUUAAAUUAUGGUCACUUGCUAAAUUUUCAUGUAAUAUCUCCAUCAUGCAUAAGUGGGCAAUGUCUUUCGUUGUUAUGCAUAAAUCAAUGACAGAGCUUUCAUUCCCAUUUCCCACUCUUGUAGGCAUUUCAUCAUUUAAAAUAACUAAUUCAUGGCUUUCAAUGAAUGACUGUAGAACCUGUCCUCUUGAAUUUGUCUGUGAACAAUUCCAAAUAGUGUUUUGGGCAUUGAAAUCUCCACAUAUGAUUACUUUUUGUCAGUGUAUA
This is a non-coding RNA of Styela clava, 1072 nucleotides long. The record is from RefSeq and is a predicted model, not a curated record. Lineage: Eukaryota; Metazoa; Chordata; Ascidiacea; Stolidobranchia; Styelidae.